CUCUACCGUGUCUCUGCAGGACAGAUGAGCUGAUCCCUCAUCGUCUCAACACCAUCAUAGACAGCGACAGGAUACCGAUGAGUGCAGAGUCUUCUGACCACAACUGAGGAUGACGGACUUUCUUCAUCCACGUCUUCUUCUUCUGCUGAAUGAAUGCAGACGGUGUACCCAGAAGGGUCGGAGGGGGUCAUGCAGGAGAAAUGCAGGGGUUUUGCAGGGAUUUUUCACUAAAUAAACACGAAGGAAAAAAAAAAAAAAAAAAAAAAAAAAAA
Long non-coding RNA from Sebastes umbrosus (honeycomb rockfish), 272 nucleotides. RefSeq lists it as uncharacterized. NCBI's taxonomy places the organism in Eukaryota, Metazoa, Chordata, Actinopteri, Perciformes, Sebastidae. The transcript is spliced from 2 exons. The record is from RefSeq and is a predicted model, not a curated record.